AUCCUCUCUUAACUUUCUCUGACUACCUCCAAUCUCUCAUCCUUCUCCUCAAACUGUGUUUCAAGGCAAAUUUCUCAGAGAUUGAGACAGUUUCAAUAUCUGAGCAAGCAAUCUUAAUCUCAAGUGUUUUGUGUAUAUUUAAGUGAUCCUAAAGCCUCCACUGUUUCACUGAUGUGUAAUUAUCUGAGAAAUUGAAAAGAAAUGUAAAGAAAAGAAAAUGGAAAUUCUAUUUCUGUUUUUACUUAGAAUGGUCAGAACACAGCAGGUAUCCAAGGAAAUGCUGAGUGGCCAACCUGAACAGUCUUUCAUAGAAAAUGUGGCCUUAGUAUAUUAGUACUUCUUUUAAGAAAUAUGAUGGAAUAUCUUUGUUUUGAAAUUGCUACUGAAAAUGUUUUUCACAUGCCCUUCCAACAUUGAAGACCCAGAUUACAAGCUAAAAUUCAAGCAAUUGAUUGGGGGUAGCUGCAUGUUUGCUGAAGCAGGAGGAAUGUCUCUGCAAGCAAGUUCUACUUUUCAGAUACUACAAUAUGAAAUAAAAGAGGGUGUCUCUUAACUUUCAAGAUAGUCCCCAGAUUUCACUUAUCAAAACAGUCUUUUUGAAGAGAUUUCUAGAUUUCUUCAUAUGAACAUCAAAUAAUUAGCUACCAUUAGCCCACACUCCCCCAUUUGAUAUAUGUGAAGUUAAAUGGAAAAUCUGCCCACUAGAGAUAGGCAGGUGCUAUAUAAACACAUCUGUAGGUCUUUUAGAAAUUACUAUCAUCACUCUUUUCAUUAAAGUGACAUGCAUAUAUUUAGAAACGCUUUUCAAAAACCUAAUGAAAGACUGUCCUUGAUAACUUCUCUAUAUGUUCAUCUAUAAAUCAUUAUUAAAAUCCUUUACAUAAUGAGGUGCACAUUCUUGGGGAGGAAAAAAAAAGGAAGUUUCAAUUCUCC
This 933-nucleotide long non-coding RNA is filed under the name Vulpes vulpes (red fox). RNAcentral's name for it is "lncRNA (ENSVVUG00000019102.1)". The record is from RNAcentral. Lineage: Eukaryota; Metazoa; Chordata; Mammalia; Carnivora; Canidae.